UUGAGUUGGCCAAAAAGUUUGUUUGGGCUUUUCAGCACAUCUUACAGAAAAACACGAAUGAAAUUUUUGACCAACACAAU
RNAcentral lists this microRNA precursor (80 nucleotides) under Ovis aries (sheep). Its description in RNAcentral is "miRNA (ENSOARG00000024703.1)". Lineage: Eukaryota; Metazoa; Chordata; Mammalia; Artiodactyla; Bovidae. The record is from RNAcentral.